Molecule: ribosomal RNA, 454 nt
Filed under: Streptococcus sanguinis
Lineage: Bacteria; Bacillati; Bacillota; Bacilli; Lactobacillales; Streptococcaceae
Description: bacterial SSU rRNA
Rfam family: Bacterial small subunit ribosomal RNA
Source: RNAcentral
GACGAACGCUGGCGGCGUGCCUAAUACAUGCAAGUAGAACGCUGAAGAGAGGAGCUUGCUCUUCUUGGAUGAGUUGCGAACGGGUGAGUAACGCGUAGGUAACCUGCCUGGUAGCGGGGGAUAACUAUUGGAAACGAUAGCUAAUACCGCAUGAUAUUAAUUAUUGCAUGAUAAUUGAUUGAAAGAUGCAAUUGCAUCACUACCAGAUGGACCUGCGUUGUAUUAGCUAGUUGGUGAGGUAACGGCUCACCAAGGCGACGAUACAUAGCCGACCUGAGAGGGUGAUCGGCCACACUGGGACUGAGACACGGCCCAGACUCCUACGGGAGGCAGCAGUAGGGAAUCUUCGGCAAUGGGGGGAACCCUGACCGAGCAACGCCGCGUGAGUGAAGAAGGUUUUCGGAUCGUAAAGCUCUGUUGUAAAGAGAAAGAAACGGGUGUGAGAGUGGAAAAG